This 392-nucleotide long non-coding RNA is filed under the name Coturnix japonica (Japanese quail). RNAcentral describes it as "lncRNA (ENSCJPG00005019667.1)". Lineage: Eukaryota; Metazoa; Chordata; Aves; Galliformes; Phasianidae. The record is from RNAcentral.
UCUGUCUUGUGAAAUUGAAGAUAGGAUGCAUCAUAUAAUUUAUCCAGUUUUUCUACAGAUAUAUGGAUAUAUAUGGACUCUAUAUGGGAAUUUGGUUACCUACUUUUGAGUGGUGUGUUCUUCACCAUUUAGAUGGAUUCAGACUAUCGGCUUCAUCUUUCCCUGGGAAACAGAAGAUCAAAACACUCUCAUAAUGAAAGGCAAUUGAAACAUAUCUGUGGGAAUAUAAAGGAUAUGCUUUUGGUGAGCAAACUUUAGAUGAGCUCCUUUUUUUUUUUUUUUAAUUUUUUUAUUUUAUUUAUUUUUUUUAAAAUCUUACUCUUCAAACAUAUACAUUUGAUUUGAUUUUGAUCCUAAUUGUGUAUUUUCUCAACAUGUCCUUCUCUGUAGUU